GCUAAACGCGAAGAACCUUACCUGGUCUUGACAUCCUAGGAAUCCUGCAGAGAUGCGGGAGUGCCUUCGGGAACCUGGAGACAGGUGCUGCAUGGCUGUCGCCAGCUCGUGUCGUGAGAUGUUGGGUUAAUCCGCACGAGCGCAACCUACCCUUAGUUGCCAGCAUUCAGUUGGGAACUCUAAGGGACCGCCAGUGACAAACCGGAGGAAGGUGGGGAUGACGUCAAGUCCUCAUGGCCCUUAUGGGUAGGGCUUCACACGUCAUACAAUGGACGGUACAGAGGGUUGCCAACCCGCGAGGGGGAGCCAAUCCCAGAAAGCCGUUCGUAGUCCGGAUCGCAGUCUGCAACUCGACUGCGUGAAGUCGGAAUCGCUAGUAAUCGCGGAUCAGCAUGCCGCGGUGAAUACGUUCCCGGGUC
RNAcentral lists this ribosomal RNA (419 nucleotides) under uncultured bacterium. Its description in RNAcentral is "bacterial SSU rRNA". It matches the Rfam family "Bacterial small subunit ribosomal RNA", at positions 954 to 1380 of the family's 1533-position model. The record is from RNAcentral.